UCCCCCCUGCCGGGUUAGUGAUCUGUCGGUAUAUUUAGAACCAACACUCUAAAUGAGGGAGCCUUCAUUGGCUCGCGUACGGCACGUCCCCCUGCGGGAAAGCCGGAAACAUGCCACAGGGCGCCCACCUGUCUCUGACAGGUUCAAAUUACAGUCGACACGGCCCGCGCGGGGGGGAU
Molecule: non-coding RNA, 179 nt
Filed under: bacterium
Lineage: Bacteria
Also listed under: 1 other name
Description: 6S RNA
Rfam family: 6S / SsrS RNA
About the family: E. coli 6S RNA was the first non coding RNA to be sequenced, but its function was unknown until recently. It consists of 184 nucleotides that fold into an extended hairpin structure with a large single-stranded internal bulge.
Source: RNAcentral